CUCCUCUAAGACACACUCCCUAAGGGCUUCUUUCUUGAAUUCUCUGCGUCAUAUCUUGAGUGUCACACAGCUCCCUCUUGCUCAAGAACAACGUAAAGAUAGCAUCUGGGUGACUCAUGCCUAUGACACCUGGGAGCCCAGUGGAGGUACUGUUUGUUCAGGUCACAGUCACUACACCCCUGCUCUUCCUGGAACACCAUCCAAAAGCUGGUGGCAGCCAUUCCUAGCUCCUCUCUGGAGCUCCAGAAACGACAAGUUGGCCUAUUCAUUUAGCCAGCACAUAGCUAAAAUGAUCUAGUCGAUUCUGGGAAUGAGAAUGGAGAGGUGACCCCAGCCUAGAGGUCAAAGCAGGCCAGAGGCACCCAUUCAGAAGGCUGGAUUGACCACAGGAGCUUGCUCCCCUCCUCCAGUCAGCUCUCAGCUGGUCACCUUUGCUCCACUCCCAGAAGGGAAUGUUCACCUUGGUUGCAAUGCCUCAUCUCUCCGCUCAGAGCUUCACCUCAAAUACAGAAAGCACAAAGGGUUACUGUGUGGGCCACUGCCCAUGAGGCAGCCAGAGCAGAAAUCACCAGUAAUAUGAGACUGUUGGAUGCUCCACAGCCACUAGCUUAGUCAUUGUUUAAAUCAGAAGUUGGCACUUUGUUCUGAGCAGAGACCAAUACCUGGAUGUUCAAGUUGUACUGAAACCCAUGGCAGGGACACAACCUCUGAGAAGUGGACACUGGGCCAUCCUUGAUCCCUGUGGCUGAUCAGCCUGAGACCUCAGGAACUCAUGAACUCACUGGGAACACAGAUUUUCUCUUCUGAUCAACAAGGAGGUAGGAACAGGUCUACACUACACCUGAAGACACUGGGGUUCCUGAGCCUCUUGACCUGUGACAUGAGAACUACUCUGACCUUGGUCAUCUCCAUUCUUACACCUCCAUGUGUGAACAGUUCCAGAAGCAUAAUUCUGCAAGGACCAAAGCCAGAGGCGAGGAUGAGCAAGACACAGCUCAUUUCAUGAAAUGGAGUCCAUCCACCGAGCUGUCUGCAUGUCUGGAAGGGGACUGUCCAUCCACCAGGCUGUCUGCAUGUCUGGAAGGGAGCUCCAGGGAUGUAACUUUCAUAGAUCAUCACAUGUGCUGGAGUGAACUUUUCAGUGAUGCAACAGCCUUUGAGUCACCCUGUUCCUCUCACCCACCACCCUGUAAUAACCUCAAUAAAGACACUGGUUCACUACAAUA
Molecule: long non-coding RNA, 1226 nt
Filed under: Cricetulus griseus (Chinese hamster)
Lineage: Eukaryota; Metazoa; Chordata; Mammalia; Rodentia; Cricetidae
Description: lncRNA (ENSCGRG00015041413.1)
Source: RNAcentral